UUCUGACGUGCAAAUCGAUAAUCUGAUCUGGGUAUAGGGGCGAAACACUAAUCGAACCAUCUAGUAGCUGGUUCCUUCCGAAGUUUCCCUCAGGAUAGCAAGCGUACAUUUUUAGUUUCAUCCCGUAAAGCGAAUGAUUAGAGGCCUUGGGGCGUAUAUAGCCUCAACCUAUUCUCAAACUUUUAAUGGGUGUGAGUGUUCUUUCUCAAUUGAAGAACGCUGCUAAAUAAGUAUGCUUAGUGGGCCAUUUUUGGUAAGCAGAACUGGCGCUGUGGGUUGAACCAAUUGUUGAGUUAAAGUGCCUAAAGCUGGAAUGCGCAUGAGAUCUAUAAAGGGUGUUAGUUGCUGAAGACAGCAGGACGGUGGCCAUGGAAGUCGGAAUCCGCUAAGGAGUGUGUAACAACUCACCUGCC
RNAcentral lists this ribosomal RNA (413 nucleotides) under Ornithonyssus bacoti. RNAcentral's name for it is "partial 28S ribosomal RNA". It matches the Rfam family "Eukaryotic large subunit ribosomal RNA", at positions 884 to 1298 of the family's 3401-position model. Lineage: Eukaryota; Metazoa; Arthropoda; Arachnida; Mesostigmata; Macronyssidae. The record is from RNAcentral.